Molecule: ribosomal RNA, 451 nt
Filed under: uncultured bacterium
Lineage: Bacteria
Description: partial 16S ribosomal RNA
Rfam family: Bacterial small subunit ribosomal RNA
Source: RNAcentral
GUGGGGAAUAUUGGACAAUGGGGGGAACCCUGAUCCAGCCAUGCCGCGUGUGUGAAGAAGGCCUUUUGGUUGUAAAGCACUUUAAGUGGGGAGGAGGCUUACCUAGUUAAUACCUGGGCUAAGUGGACGUUACCCACAGAAUAAGCACCGGCUAACUCUGUGCCAGCAGCCGCGGUAAUACAGAGGGUGCGAGCGUUAAUCGGAUUUACUGGGCGUAAAGCGCGCGUAGGUGGUUAAUUAAGUCAAAUGUGAAAUCCCCGAGCUUAACUUGGGAAUUGCAUUCGAUACUGGUUGGCUAGAGUAUGGGAGAGGAUGGUAGAAUUCCAGGUGUAGCGGUGAAAUGCGUAGAGAUCUGGAGGAAUACCGAUGGCGAAGGCAGCCAUCUGGCCUAAUACUGACACUGAGGUGCGAAAGCAUGGGGAGCAAACAGGAUUAGAAACCCCGGUAGUCC